CAGUAGCCACGGGAAUACGUAGGGUCCGAGCGUUGUCCGGAAUUACUGGGCGUAAAGCGUGCGUAGGCGGCUUCUUAAGUCGGAUGUGAAAUCCCUGAGCUUAACUUAGGAAUUGCAUUCGAUACUGGGAAGCUAGAGUAUGGGAGAGGAUGGUAGAAUUCCAGGUGUAGCGGUGAAAUGCGUAGAGAUCUGGAGGAAUACCGAUGGCGAAGGCAGCCAUCUGGCCUAAUACUGACGCUGAGGUACGAAAGCAUGGGGAGCAAACAGGAUUAGAUACCCGAGUAGUCCCUGUCUCUUAUAC
This 301-nucleotide ribosomal RNA is filed under the name uncultured bacterium. RNAcentral describes it as "partial 16S ribosomal RNA". It matches the Rfam family "Bacterial small subunit ribosomal RNA", at positions 509 to 807 of the family's 1533-position model. The record is from RNAcentral.